AUUGAACGCUGGCGGCAGGCUUAACACGUGCAAGUCGAGCGGGGUGAUGGUGCUUGCACUAUCACUUAGCGGCGGACGGGUGAGUAAUGCUUAGGAAUCUGCCUAUUAGUGGGGGACAACAUCUCGAAAGGGAUGCUAAUACCGCAUACGUCCUACGGGAGAAAGCAGGGGAUCACUUGUGACCUUGCGCUAAUAGAUGAGCCUAAGUCGGAUUAGCUAGUUGGUGGGGUAAAGGCCCACCAAGGCGACGAUCUGUAGCGGGUCUGAGAGGAUGAUCCGCCACACUGGGACUGAGACACGGCCCAGACUCCUACGGGAGGCAGCAGUGGGGAAUAUUGGACAAUGGGGGGAACCCUGAUCCAGCCAUGCCGCGUGUGUGAAGAAGGCCUUAUGGUUGUAAAGCACUUUAAGUUGGGAGGAAGGGCAGUAAGCUAAUACCUUGCUGUUUUGACGUUACCGACAGAAUAAGCACCGGCUAACUCUGUGCCAGCAGCCGCCGUAA
Molecule: ribosomal RNA, 502 nt
Filed under: uncultured bacterium
Lineage: Bacteria
Description: partial 16S ribosomal RNA
Rfam family: Bacterial small subunit ribosomal RNA
Source: RNAcentral